This is a long non-coding RNA of Xenia sp. Carnegie-2017, 882 nucleotides long. RefSeq lists it as uncharacterized. The transcript has 4 exons. Lineage: Eukaryota; Metazoa; Cnidaria; Anthozoa; Malacalcyonacea; Xeniidae. The record is from RefSeq and is a predicted model, not a curated record.
UGGAUUUGACGCGUUCAAUACACUUGACAGCAGCAGCACGCGCUCAUAGUUUACACCAAUACAAGUGUCCACGUGAAGAACACGUCUUCGCCAUGAGAGUUGAAUCCCCAAACCCACGCGGUAACACGAUACGGCAAAAAAACACGUCUGCCGUCAUUUCAUACUAAAACUCCUCAAACGCAAUUGUUUCUAAAGAACUGUACAUAUAUGUGUUUGGCGAACUAGGAUUGGUAACAAAUAUUGGCCAAAAAGCGCGAUAAAAUGCUCCCUGAACAACGGACGAUUUUGGCAAACCUCCUCCUUCAAUUCAUAGCAGUCCAUUGCAAUACAAACGAAACGAAAUCGGAAGAUAAGAAAACCACAACUCAAUCAAGCAAGCAAGAAGAGGACGUCAGCAAAACGACUCUGGCGAUAAUAAUCGGAGUUACACUCGUUUUUGAUCAUAACAAUGAUGGCAUUUUUCAUGAUACGUGGUUAUCGCGCUGAAAAACGCAAAGCAGCCUGCAAUACACCCACUGAAAUCACCACUACGGAAGAGAGCAUAUCAAACCACAGAGCCGCGCAAAUCAACUUGGGACUGCGGCAAUGUGAAAACAGUACUGAAAAACUCUAGGAAAGCGAGAGAUUUAACUAGGACAAUAAAAUAUGUGCUCUUAUCUAUGACAAAGUCAUCGAAUUCUCGUUGUUGGAGCAGUCACUAACUAUUUAAUUCAUAGAAAUUAUUUAACAAAGAUCAACGAGAAACGGCCGAAACGAGAAUGUUUUAGCAGUUUGUACAUUGACUAAUCUAAUACGAACGUUGAUUUACAUUUAUUCGCGUAUCGCCAUAUUUCUGCUGUCUUUACAAAAAUAAUUUAGAAAUCUUCAAUAGUAAACCAGCAA